Molecule: ribosomal RNA, 253 nt
Filed under: uncultured bacterium
Lineage: Bacteria
Description: partial 16S ribosomal RNA
Rfam family: Bacterial small subunit ribosomal RNA
Source: RNAcentral
UACGUAGGUGGCAAGCGUUGUCCGGAUUUAUUGGGUUUAAAGGGUGCGUAGGUGGUCUUGUAAGUCAGUGCUGAAAUAUCCCGGCUUAACCGGGAGGGUGGCAUUGAUACUGCAGGACUUGAGUAAAGUUGAGGUAGGCGGAAUUGACGGUGUAGCGGUGAAAUGCUUAGAUAUCGUCAAGAACACCUAUUGCGAAGGCAGCUUACUAAGCUUUAACUGACACUGAGGCACGAAAGUGUGGGGAUCAAACAGG